This 460-nucleotide ribosomal RNA is filed under the name uncultured bacterium. RNAcentral's name for it is "partial 16S ribosomal RNA". It matches the Rfam family "Bacterial small subunit ribosomal RNA", at positions 338 to 795 of the family's 1533-position model. The record is from RNAcentral.
CCUACGGGAGGCAGCAGUGAGGAAUAUUGGUCAAUGGCCGGAAGGCUGAACCAGCCAUGCCGCGUGAAGGUCAGUGCCCUAUGGGCGUUAAACUUCUUUUGUGCGGGAGCAAUAAUGGUCACGUGUGGCCAGACGAGAGUACCGUACGAAUAAGCAUCGGCUGACUCCGUGCCAGCAGCCGCGGUAAUACGGGGGAUGCAAGCGUUAUCCGGAUUUAUUGGGUUGAAAGGGUGCGUAGGCUGUGAGGUAAGUCAGCGGUGAAAUGCCCCCGCUCAACGGGGUGAAGUGCCAUUGAUACUGCCUGGCUGGAAUGCGGAUGCGGUGUGAGGAAUGUGUGGUGUAGCGGUGAAAUGCAUAGAUAUCACACGGAACACCGAUUGCGAAGGCAUCUCACGGAUCCGCGAUUGACGCUGAUGCACGAAAGCGUGGGUAUCAAACAGGAUUAGAUACCCGGGUAGUC